RNAcentral lists this long non-coding RNA (400 nucleotides) under Mus pahari (shrew mouse). RNAcentral describes it as "lncRNA (MGP_PahariEiJ_G0005505.1)". The record is from RNAcentral. Lineage: Eukaryota; Metazoa; Chordata; Mammalia; Rodentia; Muridae.
AAAGCCACCACUGGAAAAAUGAAAGGACAACUGAACAAGAAAGUACUGUGGUAUUUUCUUUGAAAUUGUAUCUUCUUUAUAGCACAAGGAAGUUACAAAUGUGAAAGGUCAUCAAUAUGAUUGACUCAGCAAAACCACAUCAAUGCCCACACCAACUGACAUGCUAACACAGGGAGCUCAAAGUGCCUUGUAGAUGUUAUCACAUGAAUCUUCUUGCUGUCCCAGUGUGGCCAGGAACAAAUAGUCUGCCAUCCUGGAAACCAGACUGAGAAAGUCAUUAGCAGGGACCAUAGGAUACACAGCAGUCUCCAUAAAGGAUGGAUGCAGUGCAUGUUGUUGCAGUGGUUUGUGUAAGUUCAUAUCCUAACAGCAUCAUUUGAAUGGAUGGUAAGUGAUUGAU